CUCGUAGGCGGUUCGUCGCGUCCGGUGUGAAAGUCCAUCGCUUAACGGUGGAUCCGCGCCGGGUACGGGCGGGCUUGAGUGCGGUAGGGGAGACUGGAAUUCCCGGUGUAACGGUGGAAUGUGUAGAUAUCGGGAAGAACACCAAUGGCGAAGGCAGGUCUCUGGGCCGUCACUGACGCUGAGGAGCGAAAGCGUGGGGAACGAACA
Molecule: ribosomal RNA, 207 nt
Filed under: uncultured bacterium
Lineage: Bacteria
Description: partial 16S ribosomal RNA
Rfam family: Bacterial small subunit ribosomal RNA
Source: RNAcentral